This 73-nucleotide transfer RNA is filed under the name Paenarthrobacter sp. YJN-5. It matches the Rfam family "tRNA". Rfam says of the family: Transfer RNA (tRNA) molecules are approximately 80 nucleotides in length. Their secondary structure includes four short double-helical elements and three loops (D, anti-codon, and T loops). RNAcentral also lists the same sequence under 2 other names. Lineage: Bacteria; Bacillati; Actinomycetota; Actinomycetes; Micrococcales; Micrococcaceae. The record is from Rfam by way of RNAcentral.
UCCGGCAUAGCUCAGUUGGCAGAGCACUCGACUGUUAAUCGAGGUGUCCCUGGUUCGAGCCCAGGUGUCGGAG